CAUAUUUUUAAAUCGUUCUAACCUCUAACUACAUUUUUAACCGUCAAUUCAAUUCAUGGUUAAUCGUGUAUGCUGAUUUAUUUCAUUCGUUUUUGGAUUUCCUUCAUCUGCAGAAUUGUGCACAUGCAACAGUGUUUAAUCUAUGCAUUAAACAAAGACUCAUAAUCAUUGUUUAAAAAGCGAAUUUAUUCUGCUUUCUUAAAACAAUUACUUAUUUUUGUGUUUAGUUUAUAAGUGGUGCUGGUGUAAAUAGUGUCGAACAAUUUAAUGUAUUUGUUUAUAUUAUUAGGCAGACGUUUUUACGUUAUAUCUGUUAUAUUAUAUUAAUCAUUUUCAAAAUCAGAAAAAUAUAAAUAACAAAGAAGUACAUCAAGACUGUGAAACGCAAUUGAAGAUAGCAAUGGAAACGUAUCGCAAUGCAAUGAAUCAACUGGAUGAUGAAGCCUUUCAAGUAGUACUCAAGGAAUUUGGAAAGCAUACAGAAAAAGUUCAAAAACAAAGUAUAAAUUUAAGAAAACAUAAAAUGGCUAAACAGGAGUAUUUCCUAUCUAAGAAAAAAUAAAAUGAUAAAGUUAACGAACGCAGAAAGGAGUACAUUAGGAUUCAAAUGUA
Long non-coding RNA from Agrilus planipennis (emerald ash borer), 612 nucleotides. RefSeq lists it as uncharacterized. The record is from RefSeq and is a predicted model, not a curated record. The transcript has 2 exons. Lineage: Eukaryota; Metazoa; Arthropoda; Insecta; Coleoptera; Buprestidae.